UUCCACAAAUCGCGUGUCAACUCGGCGAGUUUACCGAGUUUACGUGUUUAGGUGCUAAAAACGUGUUAACUCGGAGGUAAACUCGAUUUCUGGUAAAAUCGAAAAGUUUGACGAGUUUGACCGAGUUAACACUCAGUAAACUCGUGUGAAAUCGGGCGAGUUUACCGUUUUUGCGAGUUUACUCCUGUAUUUUUUUUUCUUCAAAAAUGGCCCAUUGUUUUUGGCCCAUUUUUUUCAAGCCCAAAUGAAAACAUAUUUACUUUCUAGCUUACAACACGUUUCAGCUUACUGAAGUGAAACAUUUCAUAUCAUUUUCUUUGAGUUUUCAAGAACAGGGGAGCGAAUGAAACAUUAGGUUUCCGAAGAUGAAGAUAUAGAUGAGAAUGGUGUUAUGAAACUUUAGAAGAUUGACCUUUCGAAGAAAUUACUUAGUUUGUUUUUUGGAUAGUUUUAUUCUCAAGUUUAUAAACUUGUGAAACUUUAUUUUUGGGAUG
Molecule: long non-coding RNA, 494 nt
Filed under: Medicago truncatula (barrel medic)
Lineage: Eukaryota; Viridiplantae; Streptophyta; Magnoliopsida; Fabales; Fabaceae
Description: long non-coding RNA (MTRU_LNC001209)
Source: RNAcentral